This 369-nucleotide ribosomal RNA is filed under the name Pterygia dactylus. RNAcentral describes it as "partial 12S ribosomal RNA". The record is from RNAcentral. Lineage: Eukaryota; Metazoa; Mollusca; Gastropoda; Neogastropoda; Mitridae.
UCAUAGAUGUAAAUAUGAAAAUUCUACCUGAGUACUAAGAAUAAAAAAUUUAAAACUCAAAGGGCUUGGCGGUGUUUUAGACUACUUAGGGGAACCUGUCUCAUGAUCGACAAUCCACGUUAAACCUAACCUCUUUUUGCACUCAGUUUGUAUACCGUCGUCGCCAGGUAACUUUUAAGAUGUAAGCAGUUAGCUAAAUAAAUAAUUAAAUUAGGACGUCAGAUCAAGGUGCAGCCAAUGAAGAGGAGUAGAUGGGUUACAAUUAUUUUAAUCAUAAUUACGGACAAUAAUUUUAAAAAAUUAUCAGUAAGGAGGACUUAAAAGUAAAAUAAAUUAUAUAAAUACUUUGAAUAGAGCUCUGAAACGUGC